CCCUUAGAUGUUCUGGGCCGCACGCGUGCUACACUGACCGGCGCAACAAGCUUCUUUCCUUGACCGAUAGGUCUGGGUAAUCUUUGAACGCUGUUCGUGAUUGGGAUAGACCUUUGCAAUUAUGGGUCUUCAACGAGGAAUUCCUAGUAAACGCAAGUCAUCAGCUUGCAUUGAUUACGUCCCUGCCCUUUGUACACACCGCCCGUCGCACCUACCGAUUGAAUGGUCCGGUGAAAUCUCGGGACGGCGGCUUGGUCGCUUGCGUCCGACUGCUGAAACUUGAUUAAACCAUAUCAUUUAGAGGAAGGUGAAGUCGUANCA
RNAcentral lists this ribosomal RNA (321 nucleotides) under uncultured eukaryote. Its description in RNAcentral is "partial 18S ribosomal RNA". It matches the Rfam family "Eukaryotic small subunit ribosomal RNA", at positions 1470 to 1796 of the family's 1831-position model. The record is from RNAcentral.